GAUGAACGCUGGCGGCGUGCCUAAUACAUGCAAGUCGAGCGAACGGACGAGAAGCUUGCUUCUCUGAUGUUAGCGGCGGACGGGUGAGUAACACGUGGAUAACCUACCUAUAAGACUGGGAUAACUUCGGGAAACCGGAGCUAAUACCGGAUAAUAUUUUGAACCGCAUGGUUCAAAAGUGAAAGACGGUCUUGCUGUCACUUAUAGAUGGAUCCGCGCUGCAUUAGCUAGUUGGUAAGGUAACGGCUUACCAAGGCAACGAUGCAUAGCCGACCUGAGAGGGUGAUCGGCCACACUGGAACUGAGACACGGUCCAGACUCCUACGGGAGGCAGCAGUAGGGAAUCUUCCGCAAUGGGCGAAAGCCUGACGGAGCAACGCCGCGUGAGUGAUGAAGGUCUUCGGAUCGUAAAACUCUGUUAUUAGGGAAGAACAUAUGUGUAAGUAACUGUGCACAUCUUGACGGUACCUAAUCAGAAAGCCACGGCUAACUACGUGCCAGCAGCCGCGGUAAUACGUAGGUGGCAAGCGUUAUCCGGAAUUAUUGGGCGUAAAGCGCGCGUAGGCGGUUUUUUAAGUCUGAUGUGAAAGCCCACGGCUCAACCGUGGAGGGUCAUUGGAAACUGGAAAACUUGAGUGCAGAAGAGGAAAGUGGAAUUCCAUGUGUAGCGGUGAAAUGCGCAGAGAUAUGGAGGAACACCAGUGGCGAAGGCGACUUUCUGGUCUGUAACUGACGCUGAUGUGCGAAAGCGUGGGGAUCAAACAGGAUUAGAUACCCUGGUAGUCCACGCCGUAAACGAUGAGUGCUAAGUGUUAGGGGGUUUCCGCCCCUUAGUGCUGCAGCUAACGCAUUAAGCACUCCGCCUGGGGAGUACGACCGCAAGGUUGAAACUCAAAGGAAUUGACGGGGACCCGCACAAGCGGUGGAGCAUGUGGUUUAAUUCGAAGCAACGCGAAGAACCUUACCAAAUCUUGACAUCCUUUGACAACUCUAGAGAUAGAGCUUUCCCCUUCGGGGGACAAAGUGACAGGUGGUGCAUGGUUGUCGUCAGCUCGUGUCGUGAGAUGUUGGGUUAAGUCCCGCAACGAGCGCAACCCUUAAGCUUAGUUGCCAUCAUUAAGUUGGGCACUCUAAGUUGACUGCCGGUGACAAACCGGAGGAAGGUGGGGAUGACGUCAAAUCAUCAUGCCCCUUAUGAUUUGGGCUACACACGUGCUACAAUGGAUAAUACAAAGGGCAGCGAAUCCGCGAGGCCAAGCAAAUCCCAUAAAAUUAUUCUCAGUUCGGAUUGUAGUCUGCAACUCGACUACAUGAAGCUGGAAUCGCUAGUAAUCGUAGAUCAGCAUGCUACGGUGAAUACGUUCCCGGGUCU
This 1372-nucleotide ribosomal RNA is filed under the name uncultured bacterium. RNAcentral describes it as "bacterial SSU rRNA". It matches the Rfam family "Bacterial small subunit ribosomal RNA", at positions 28 to 1381 of the family's 1533-position model. The record is from RNAcentral.